Molecule: ribosomal RNA, 832 nt
Filed under: uncultured bacterium
Lineage: Bacteria
Description: bacterial SSU rRNA
Rfam family: Bacterial small subunit ribosomal RNA
Source: RNAcentral
AGUCCUACCAGAAAGUCCCUUCGGGGAUGAGUAAAGUGGCCAACGGGUGAGUAAUACCUGGGUAACCUGCCUUUACCACGGGGAUAACAUUCCGAAAGGGGUGCUAAUACCGGAUAACACCACAAUACGGGAGUAUCGUGGGAAAACGAUGGCCUCUGACUUAUGCUAUCGCGUACAGAUGGGCCCACGGCCUAUCAACUUGUUGGCGGGGUAACGGCCCACCAAGGCUUCAACGGGUAGCCGGCCUGACAGGGUGAACGGCCACACUGGAACUGAGACACGGUCCAGACUCCUACUGGAGGCAGCACUGGGGAAUUUUGCACAAUGGGCGAAAGCCUGAUGCAGCAACGCCUCGUGAGGGACGAAGGCAUUCGGGUUGUACACCUCUUUUAAUCGGGAAGAACCCCUCCCCUGUAAAUAAUGGGGGAGACUGACGGUACCGAUAGAAUAAGCCACGGUUAAAUCUGUGCCAGCAGCCGCGGUAAUAUAGAGGUGGCGAGCGUUGUUCAGAUUUAUUGGGCGUAAAGAGCGCGUAGGCGGUCCUGUAAGUCGGUGGUGAAAUCCCGGGGCUUAACCCCGGAAUUGCCCUGGAUACUGCUGGACUUGAGUGCGGGAGAGGAUAGUGGAAUUCCUAGUGUAGAGGUGAAAUUCGUAGAUAUUAGGAAGAACACCAGUGGAGAAGGCAGCUAUCUGGACCGCAACUGACGUUGAGGCGCGAAAGCGUGGGGAGCAAACAGGAUUAGAUACCUUGGUAGUCCACGCCGUAAAUGAUGGACACUAGGUGUGGGAGGUAUCGACCCCUUCCGUGCCGUAGCAAACGCAUUAAGUGUCC